RNAcentral lists this ribosomal RNA (326 nucleotides) under uncultured eukaryote. RNAcentral's name for it is "partial 18S ribosomal RNA". It matches the Rfam family "Eukaryotic small subunit ribosomal RNA", at positions 1470 to 1796 of the family's 1831-position model. The record is from RNAcentral.
CCCUUAGAUGUUCUGGGCCGCACGCGCGCUACACUGAUGCAUUCAACGAGCCUAUCCUUGACCGACAGGUCCGGGUAAUCUUUGAAUCUGCAUCGUGAUGGGGCUAGAUUAUUGCAAUUAUUAAUCUUCAACGAGGAAUGCCUAGUAAGCGUGAUUCAUCAAAUCGCGUUGAUUACGUCCCUGCCCUUUGUACACACCGCCCGUCGCUCCUACCGAUUGAAUGUGUUGGUGAGGAGCUCGGAUUGGCAGCAGUUGGUGGUUCGCCACCGGCUAUUGCUGAGAAGUCCUCCAAACCGCCCCAUUUAGAGGAAGGAGAAGUCGUAACA